Molecule: non-coding RNA, 45 nt
Filed under: Trichobilharzia regenti
Lineage: Eukaryota; Metazoa; Platyhelminthes; Trematoda; Strigeidida; Schistosomatidae
Source: RNAcentral
ACCCUGUUGAAGAGUCCCGAAUAGGACGAAAUGUACAUCCUGGAU